Molecule: ribosomal RNA, 5001 nt
Filed under: Triticum aestivum (bread wheat)
Lineage: Eukaryota; Viridiplantae; Streptophyta; Magnoliopsida; Poales; Poaceae
Description: partial small subunit ribosomal RNA
Source: RNAcentral
AUGACCGCAAACGAGCAUGGCCCUGCGCCGCUCACCACUACCCUCCCCCUCCUCCCCACCCACGGCAUCAUCGUGCGCGCGGCCGCUGGUGGCCAUGGUGCGGACCCCGGGCGCCCUGAACUUGAAGCCGUCCCGGACGAUGCCGCACGCGGCGCAGGAGGAGCCGGCCGCGUCGCGGAGGAAGCGGCGCAGUGGAAGUGGAGCAGCUCGUUGCCGUCGGCGGUGCAGCGGCCGGUGCCCGGGCCGCGCGCCCUGGCCUUAGACGGCGUCGCGAUGGUACGUACAUCACAAAGUGAGGAUGCAGUUGAAGGGAAGGCCAAAGAGGCAUCUGAGUGGUCACUGAUGGCUGGGAUGGUGAGUCUAUGGAGUGAUUGGGAGGUCCAAAUCCUAGUGCUUAUUAGCUUCAUGCUGCAAGUGUUCCUGCUCAUGUUUGCCAGGAUGCGACGUCGGAACAUAUCCAUCGUUCCAAGGACCCUCCUCUGGCUUGCAUACCUGCUGGCGGACGCCAUAGCGAUAUACAUCCUUGGCCACAUGUCCUUCUAUGGCAAGUCCCACGGGCACCAACAACUCAUGGCAUUCUGGGCGCCGUUCUUGCUAGUGCAUCUUGGUGGCCAGGACAACAUCACCGCCUACUCCAUAGAAGACAACCAGCUCUGGCCACGCCACCUGCUCUCUUUUAUUGUGCAGACGGUGGGAGUGGCUUAUGUCCUCUACAAUUAUAUCGCUGGCAGCUGGCCCUUGGUCAUAGCAGCACUGCUGAUAUUUGUCAGUGGUGUUUUCAAGUAUGGGGAGAGAGUAUGGGCGCUUAAGUCCUCCAGCCUAGAGAAUAUGAGUAAAUUCCUUGAUAGCAGGAAGUUGACUGAGGCUAAACAAGGACAAUAUGCACAGUUGGACCAAGGGGGGAAUUUUGAUCCUGAAAGGGACCUCCAGGGGGCUCAUGACCUGCUACCAAUUUGCAUGGCUCAGUUUGUGGACUAUAAGUUCUGGCCAUCCGAAUUCCAGAGUAAAGCAAUAGCGCUAUUCGAUAACAAGGGCCAAAUAUUUGAGUUGGUUGAGAUGCAGCUAUCAUUGAUGUAUGAUUUCCUAUAUACCAAGGCAGCAGUGGUCUUCACAUGGCAUGGAUGCUUCAUCCGUGCCAUUUCAUCAAUUGCCAGCAUCACCACUUUCUUCCUAUUUCAAUCAAGCAUUGGGCAAAAUGACUUCAAUAGAGUUGAUGCCAUUGUCACAUACAUCUUAAUAUCUGGCGCUGUCCUCCUAGAGAUGACAGCAUUGUUGAAGGCAGUGGGAUCAACAUGGACAUGCACAUUGUUGCAUGCGAGAGGAUGGCAUCGGCUUCACAACAUAGUCUUAUCUAUCCGGCGGGGUGUCAAGGCUGCAGAAAGAAAUAGAAGAUGGUCAGGUUCCAUUGGACACCCUGAGUUGCUGAACUUGUCUCAUGGCAGUGGAUGCUGCGCACAGAGCCUGCGAUGCAAAGAUUUGUGGAAGAAGCUACACCACUCCCUACCUGUCAUUUCAGAUGCUACUAAAAAAUUGGUGUUGGAAGAGGUACGGAGAAUGGUGGAGGCAUGCGAAGGAAAAGAGGAUAUGAUGAGGAGUUAUACUGGUCAGUGCGCGCUGAAUCCAUGGCACGGGCUCUUCAAAGAUCCUACCUCGCACACUGGCAUUGAUUUUGAUGACAAAAUCAUUUCCUGGUACUUUGCCACCAAAAUAUUCUUCUCAUGGUCGUCUCGUGUGGAAGAGCAUGGUUAUGUUGAGGCAACCACGACAGUGUCUAACUACAUGAUAUUUCUCCUUACUGAACAUCCCUACAUGCUGCCUAGCCCUGUUCGGCCCGGAUUGUAUGCCAGGAAUAAAGAAGCAUAUGUGGGGCUUGAUUUUUCUGAGAGGGAGCAGAUCAGUAGAAAGUUGGGGCUAAAUAAAAGAAGAAGAAUGUCGGAUCUGGACACAAGAAUGGAUGUGGACAAGCUGCACAAAGCAAGGGGGAAGCUUGACAUAAUAAGGGAGGAUCUGGACAUAAUAAGGGAGAAUCUAGAUGGAAGGAAGGCUCGGCACGAAAGGUCAGAGGAGUUGGACAUAAGUUGGGAGGAGCUGAAGAGGAUAUGGGAGGAGUUGGAUGAUUUAAGAUUAGUGGUCGGCCAUAAAAGGGACAAGCUUGUGGUGUUGGACAAAAGAAGGGAGGAGCUGGACAAAAAAAGGGAGAAGCUGGACAGAGGAAGCGAGGAGCUGUAUUUGGGAUCUCCACCUUCCUUAGGCCUCCCCCCAUGGAGAAGGCUGGAGGAGCUGAACAGAACAAUAAAAGAUCUAGAGCAGCUAGACAGAAGAAGGUCUGAGGUUGACGGUAGAAGGGAGGAGAACCUGGACGUGGACACGGAGGAGCUGAAUAGAACAAUGAAAAAACUGGAGGAGCUAGACAGAAGAAGUGAGGAGCUGCAUUUCAGAUCUCCACCUUCCUUGGUCCGUGGAGCGGAGCUGGCUGUUUGGCUACUAGAGGCAGAGAUGCAGUGCACGCACGAGGUGUGGCGGGUGCUACUUGGGGUGUGGGUGGAGAUGUUGUGCUAUGCUUCCCACCACUGCACUAGGGAUUCCCACGCAAGGCAGCUUAACGGUGGCGGUGAAUUCAUUACCGUUGUCUGGCUUCUGUCCACUGCCAUGUUCAAUCGCCGGUAUUGUGAUGAGGAUUGGUUUAAGAAGGGCGUGCGGGAAUUCUUCCGGUCACAUUCCAUCUCGAGAGAGAGGAGGGACGGAGUUGAUUGCCUUGCCAUGCUCGGCUUCGUACUAUUGCUUCUCUGGUCACUGAUGGCUAGAGUGGUGCACCUAUGGAAUGAUUGGGAGGUCCAAAUCCUAGUGCUUGUUAGCUUCAUGCUGCAAGUUUUCCUGCUCAUGUUCGCCAGGAUGCGACGGAGGAACAUCUCCAUCGUCCCAAGAACCCUCCUCUGGCUAGCAUACUUGCUGGCAGACUCCAUAGCGAUAUACAUCCUCGGCCACAUGUCUUUCUGUGGCAAGCCCCACGGGCGCCAACAGCUCAUGGCAUUCUGGGCGCCAUUCUUGCUGGUGCAUCUCGGUGGCCAGGACAACAUCACUGCCUACUCCAUAGAAGACAGCCAGCUCUGGCCACGUCACCUGCUCUCUUUUGUCGUGCAGACGGUGGGAGUGGCAUAUGUCUUCUACAAGUAUGUCGCUGGUAGCUGGACCUUGGUCACAGCCGCGGCGCUGAUAUUUUGCAGCGGUUUUCUCAAGUAUGGGGAGAGAGUAUGGGCGCUCAAGUCCUCCAGCCUGGACAACAUGAGUAAGUUCCUCGACAGCAGGAAGUUGGCUGAGGCUAAACGAGAACAGCGUGCACAGUGGGGCCAAGGGGAGACGUUGCAUCAUGAAGAGGUUCUUCAGGGAGCUCAUGACCUGCCCCCCAUUUGCAUGGCUCAGUUUGUGGACUAUAAGUUUUGGCCAUCCCCAUUCCAGAGUAAAGCCGUCAAGCUAUUUGAUAGAGGGGGGCAAAUGUUUGAGUUGGUUGAGAUGCAGCUCUCCUUGAUGUAUGAUUUCCUAUAUACCAAGGCCGCGGUGGCCUUCACAUGGCAUGGAUGCUUCAUCCGUGUCAUUUCAUCAGUUGCCAGCAUCACCACUUUGUUCCUAUUUCAAUCAAGCAUUGGCAAAAAUGACUUCAACAGAGUCGAUGCAAUUGUCACAUACAUCUUAAUAGCUGGGGCUGUCCUCCUAGAGAUUACAACAUUGUUGAAGGCAAUGGGGUCAACAUGGACAUGCGCAUCGUUGCAUGCUAGAGGAUGGCAUCGGCUUCACAACAUAGUUGUAUCUUUCCGGCGGCGUGUCAAGGCCGCGGAGAGAAAUAGAAGAUGGUCAGGUUCCAUUGGACAGCCUGAAUUGCUUAACUCGGCCCAGGGCACUGGAGGUUGCGUGGAGUGCAUGGGAUGCAAAGAUUUGUGGAAGAAACUGCACAACUCCUUACCUGUCGUUUCAGAUGGUACUAAGAAGUUGGUGUUGGAAGAGGUACGAAGAAUGGUGGAGGCAUGCGAAGGCAAAGAAGAUAUGAUGAGGAGUUACAGUGGUCAGUGCGCACUGAAUCCAUGGAGCGGAUUCUUCAAGGAUCCCACCUCGCACGUUGGCAUUAAUUUUGAUGACAAAAUCGUUUCCUGGUACUUUGCCACCAAAAUGUUCUUCUCACGGUCGUCUCAUGCGGAAGAGCGAGAUUAUGUUGUGGAGGCAAUCAGGGCAGUAUCUAACUAUAUGAUAUUCCUCCUUGCUGAACGCCCCUACAUGUUGCCUAGCCCUGUUCGCCCCGGAUUGUAUGCCAAUACUGAAGCAGCAUGUGCGGAGCUUGACUUUUUUGACAUGAAACACAUCAGCACAAGGGGGGAGCUGGACAGAAGAAGAAGAAUUUGGGAUCUGGACACAAGAACGGACGGGGACGAGUUGUACAGAGUAAGGGAUAGGCUGGACAUAAUAAGGGAGGAUCUGGACGUAAUAAGGGAGGAUCUGGACAGAAAAAGGGAGGAGCUGGACGGAAGUUGGGACGAGCUGGACAUUGUAAGGUUAAAGGUGGGCAGUAGAAGGGUGAAGCUGGAGGUGCUAGACAGAAGAAGGGAGGAGCUGAAUCAGGAGCUGAACAGAACGAGGUUUGAGGAGAUGAAAAAGCUGGAGGAGCUGCAUUCCAUACCUCCACCUUCCUUAUUCCGUGGAGCGGCGCUUGCUGUUUGGCUGCUAGAGGCGGAGGCGCAGGGCGAGGCAGAGGUGCGGCAGGUGCUACUUGGGGUGUGGGUGGAGAUGCUGUGCUAUGCGGCCCACCACUGCAGUAGGGAUUCCCACGCCAGGCAGCUCAACAGUGGCGGCGAGUUCAUUACCGUCGUCUGGCUUCUGUCCACUGCCAUGUUCAAUCUCCGGUACUGCAACGACACCUGGUUUAAGAGGGGCGUGCGGGAGUUCUCGAGGCAACCAUUCCAUCCUAAGGAGGAGGAGAAGAAGGGUUGGUUCCGCAGGUUACUUAGGGGCUAA